This 1009-nucleotide ribosomal RNA is filed under the name human gut metagenome. Its description in RNAcentral is "bacterial LSU rRNA". It matches the Rfam family "Bacterial large subunit ribosomal RNA", at positions 1919 to 2925 of the family's 2925-position model. The record is from RNAcentral.
CCCAGUAAACGGCGGCCGUAACUAUAACGGUCCUAAGGUAGCGAAAUUCCUUGUCAGGUAAGUUCUGACCCGCACGAAUGGCGUAAUGAUUUGGGCACUGUCUCAACAGCCCGCCCGGCGAAAUUGUAGUACCGGUGAAGAUGCCGGUUACCCGCGACAAGACGGAAAGACCCCAUGGAGCUUUACUGUAGCCUAAUAUUGGGUUUCGAUGUUGCAUGCACAGGAUAGAUGGGACACAGGGAAACAAGUGCUUUGGCAUUUGUGGAGUGGCCGUUGGGAUACCAUCCUUGCGAUAUUGGAAUUCUAACCUGCGGCUCUGAAUCGAGUCGGGGGACAUUGUUAGGUGGGCAGUUUGACUGGGGCGGUCGCCUCCUAAAGAGUAACGGAGGCGUUCAAAGGUUCGCUCAGCUUGAACGGAAAUCAAGCAAAAGAGUGCAAACGCAGAAGCGAGCCUAACUGCGAGACUGACGGGUCGAGCAGUAACGAAAGUUGGAGUUAGUGAUCCGGUGGUAUGUGAGUGGAAAUGCCAUCGCUCAACGGAUAAAAGUUACCCUGGGGAUAACAGGCUGAUCUCCCCCAAGAGUCCACAUCGACGGGGAGGUUUGGCACCUCGAUGUCGGCUCAUCGCAUCCUGGGGCUGAAGUAGGUCCCAAGGGUUGGGCUGUUCGCCCAUUAAAGCGGUACGCGAGCUGGGUUCAGAACGUCGUGAGACAGUUCGGUCCCUAUCCGGCGCGGGCGGAGGAUAUUUGAGAGGAGCUGUCCUUAGUACGAGAGGACCGGGAUGGACGGACCACUGGUGUAUCUGUUGUCGACCAACGGCAUGGCAGAGUAGCCAAGUCCGGAAGGGAUAAACGCUGAAGGCAUCUAAGCGUGAAGCCCCCCCCAAGAUGAGAUGUCCCUGUCUAUAAGACAGUAAGACCCCUGAAAGAGUAUCAGGUAGAUAGGGCAGAGGUGGAAGCACGGUAACGUGUGGAGCUGACUGUUACUAAUCGAUCGAGGGCUUGACCAA